CACACUGUAGUUUCGUGCUAUUUAAUUUUAACUGUAUUAAUUUUGUACUCUAUGUCUGUAUUUUUUUUUCUUUUUUUUCGUCGGCUACUCUCCGUUAAUAUUUUUUUAAAUUACAUAUCAAAAACUUCAGAUGCUCCAUCUAAAUUUAUUGAAUAUUUACUUUAGCAACUAAACCUUUUAGUUUUAAUUUUGUUACUGAUUUAACGGAGAAAUAAAACUCUAGGUACUAAAUUGAUACAUUUUAACCUAUAAAAUUGUAAAGUGAGAAAAGGCGAAACAACAGGGUUGUUUUUAAAAUUUUCUCUUAAUAAUAAAAAAUAAUAAUAAAUGGUAAUGGAUUGGGGGGAUUGGUUGGGGAUAAAAAUAUUUCUUCUUUGUUUACCAUUUAUUUAUUUAUUAAAUGACGGAUUUGCCCCUGGGGGAAAGGAAGGAAAAUCUUGAGGAUAUCCCCUGGAUGGGAUAUACUGGGAUUUCGGCGACUGGGUUGCAUUCAUUGCACUGUUGCUCCCCCAAUUAUUUCUCAUUUAGAUUUUAAAUUUUAAUUUAUUAUAAUUUUUCGUUCGAAUUUUUCGAAUUAUACUGAUCAGAUCACGGUAUCAAAUUUAGCUGACUAAAUAUUGAUAAAUAAUUAAUGUAGAAAUGAAAGUUGAGCUUUCUUGCUUUCAAAAGUAUUAGAGCAUUUGUACUUGCGACUUUUUUAGCUAUGAGAUUGUCUGAACAUCCGUGCAGUACUAAUAAAGAAAACUUAACAGGACACGUCGUUACUCUAUCGUACUAGUACUGUACGGAUCUUGAGACGAUCCAACGGCUAAAAAGUCACGAGCACGAGCUCAACUCGUAAAAGUGGUACAGUAUCUUAAUUAUUGUCGCAUUAUCUAUCAUAAUACUUUCACGUUAGUUCUAUAUUAGCAAUUUGUUCAUAUUUAGACAAUUAGAUUAGAUUGUGAGGGUUAAUUGUAAUAAUUCAGAAAAGUUUGAACCAAAAAUUACAAUAACAAAUUAAUAUUUGAGGACGAAAGUGUCCUGACACUCAUAGUUUGAGGAUCAAAAAUAUAAUUUAUCCAUUUUUUAUU
Molecule: long non-coding RNA, 1073 nt
Filed under: Ananas comosus (pineapple)
Lineage: Eukaryota; Viridiplantae; Streptophyta; Magnoliopsida; Poales; Bromeliaceae
Description: long non-coding RNA (ACOM_LNC026301)
Source: RNAcentral